RNAcentral lists this ribosomal RNA (253 nucleotides) under uncultured bacterium. RNAcentral's name for it is "partial 16S ribosomal RNA". It matches the Rfam family "Bacterial small subunit ribosomal RNA", at positions 524 to 776 of the family's 1533-position model. The record is from RNAcentral.
GACAGAGGGUGCAAACGUUGCUCGGAAUUACUGGGCGUAAAGCGCGUGUAGGCGGGUUUGCAAGUCAGAUGUGAAAUCCCCGGGCUCAACCCGGGAACUGCAUUUGAAACUGUGAGCCUUGAGUGUCGGAGAGGAAGGCGGAAUUCCUGGUGUAGAGGUGAAAUUCGUAGAUAUCAGGAGGAACACCGGUGGCGAAGGCGGCCUUCUGGACGACAACUGACGCUGAGACGCGAAAGCGUGGGGAGCAAACAGG